This is a long non-coding RNA of Oryza sativa Japonica Group (Japanese rice), 1142 nucleotides long. RefSeq lists it as uncharacterized. NCBI's taxonomy places the organism in Eukaryota, Viridiplantae, Streptophyta, Magnoliopsida, Poales, Poaceae. The record is from RefSeq and is a predicted model, not a curated record.
CCGCCAUCACCUUCAACGACCGCCCUUUUCCCGCCGUCGCCGCCUCCCCCCUAUCGUCAUACCACCGGGCGCCGCCCUCCUGGCCAGCGGAUCCGGCCUCCGCCGUAGUCCCGUAUGCCGCCGCCUACCCUCGCCGUCGCCGUACGCCAUACGCCAUCCCCCCACCGCCGUUGUGUGCCAUUUGGCGUCGGUCCCCCCUUCCCCCUUCUUCGUCCUCCCCUCAGCAGCGUCGGAACUGGCGCCGGUAUCCCCCUCCCCUCGCAGUGGGGUGGCGUGGCCUACUCUUGAAGGAGGCUGGCGAGGGCCUUUUCGCCAGAUCCGGCGGCCUCACCACUUGCUAGCACCAGAUCAGGCGGUGGCGGCCGUCAAAAAGAGAGGGGACGCACUCCCCUACGCGCAGCCAGUGGAGUUGGUCAGCGACAACGGCGCCGUCCUAGUUGGCGUUGCCAGCCGGUGAGUUAAUCUGCUCCAUCUCUCUCCCUUGCUGCUACUGCUGCAGCUUGGAAGAAGCGCGCGGGGCAUUUCUUGCGUGCCGAUCACCUACGACGUGAGGCUCCGGACGACUCUGGGGAAGGUGUCCAUCAUGAACGAUGGCUCCAUCGCCGGCGGCUUCGAGAUCGGUCAGGGGCUAUGGACAAAGGUGAAGCAGAUGACCGCGUUCGCGCUGGGCCAGUUGUGCGAUGAUCUCGACAAGGUCCAUGUCAUCCUCAUCCAGGCUGACACACUGAGCAUGAUCCAUCAAGGAGAAGGCUGGUACCCUACCAUGGAAAUCCUUGAUUGCCCAGGCAAGCAUGGCGAGUGUGAAGCUGACGGAGCAUACGUACUGGACCCCUGACCCGACGUUCCCUAGCUACUUGAACUAUGGACCUGCGGUUAGUGAGGUGGAAGUGGAUAUGCUGACAGGAGCAACCACCAUCCUAAGGAGCGACCUCAUCUUAAAGACCUAAAGCAGGCUCAUCUUAAAGACCUAAUGCAGAGUCCAAGAUCUUGCAUCUUAUUGGGCGACGUGGCGCCAUAGAAAUCAGCAAAAGUCCCCUCCCAAUAUCUGCCAUGUGUCCACUCCGAGGAGAUGCUCCAAUGUACUAUAUCUAUGAAUGCUCUAGGAAGAAAAAUAAAUAAAUAAAUUAGUUGGUCCAUGAAUU